ACUCAACGUUUUAGGACCAGCUUGUUCCCCCUCUGACACUAGAUUUCUGAACAGACCAUGAACCUCACUGUUAUUUACUCGUUCAUUUCUAUGGUUGUAACCUACAGUCAUUUUUACUCUACUACUGCGGCAAAACAACAAAUGUCACAACAACGACAAUAAACCUGAUUCUGAAUCUGUAAUUAAUUAAACAUGGAACAAGGACAAAUUCCCACUUUCAACAUUGUUUUCACUUGUAAUUCUUUCACUCUCCAGCUUUUGAUCAGUAGUUACUAUUAGAAUCCACACCAAGGUGAAGCCGUACCGGAGCUGUGUUCUGUCCACACUCCUGUACAGGUCAGAAUGCUGGUGCAUGACAGGGGGCCACCUUGCCAAGCCGUCGUCAUUCCACACCACGAGCUUCCGGGAGAUCCUCCAUCAUUUCUGGCCAAGAGAGAUCUCUAACCAGGCCCUACUCCUUUCCUUCAGGUCACUAAGAGGACAUGGCCACAAUCAUCACGAGGAAACACUGGAGAUGGAUUGGGCACGUGAUGAGGCCAACUCCUUCAUCAAGAGAACGCUUCAUUGGAUACCAGAAGGGUGGAGGAAGCACAGGAGAUGAAAGACAACUUGGUGCUACACUGCAGAGGCAGAAAUGAGGACCCUGAACCACACCUGGGCACAAUAGAGAAGAUGGCCGAGGACAAAUAGAGAUCGAGGACCUUUAUUGCAUCAGCAGUGUAACAGGCAAAACAGCAAUGAAGAAACGUUUUACAUCUGAGUAUGACGGUAUUCCUGAGACUCCAGCCGGGAUUUGCGUGACUGACUGCAGUGAAAGCCGAGAGGAAGCUACUGACACGAGGAAAGAAGCCCUGAACAUUGCCAGAGAUGGAAGAUCUUCACUGCUGCUCAAAACACCAGAAGGCAAAACAGGCAGGUUCUUUGGAAGACCCUGACCUGGACAUCAGUUCUUUACGGGAAUGGGGCCCACUCUCAGGGCCUCACAACUGGCCGCUUUUUGAUAUCCCAAGGCCACAGCCUGGAAGACUAGCGUGCCUUCAGGGUGCUGGAAUUUCCUGGCUCUGGAGACGUACUGAUUCUAGGCCGGUGCCCCUGACUGAGGUGUUGCGGGAGAACAUGGAAAAUCGUGAGCAGCAAGUUAGUUGCCAUGGGCUGCGUGUCCAGAGAUCUGAGCCUUUCCAGAGCCAACUCUCUGGAUGCAGAGCUUGGAAAAAGUGAAACUGCAGAACUUUAACGUUGUAAAUCAGUGAGUUGUUUGUUAUGUCUCCCCCCUCACUGUGAAGUGGGGACAUCUCUUAUUAGGGAGUGAGAGAGAGCAUGUGGUAUGUCAAAUUACCAGGUGAAUGAGUAGUCAUUGGGUUACUGCGAGUCUGUGUCUUUAUUGAUAUUACUGCACGCUUGAGUGCUUGGUGGAGG
Molecule: long non-coding RNA, 1416 nt
Organism: Hypanus sabinus (Atlantic stingray)
Lineage: Eukaryota; Metazoa; Chordata; Chondrichthyes; Myliobatiformes; Dasyatidae
Exons: 3
Source: RefSeq, a predicted model, not a curated record